This 281-nucleotide long non-coding RNA is filed under the name Medicago truncatula (barrel medic). RNAcentral's name for it is "long non-coding RNA (MTRU_LNC000847)". The record is from RNAcentral. Lineage: Eukaryota; Viridiplantae; Streptophyta; Magnoliopsida; Fabales; Fabaceae.
UCCAAUUCACCCCUCUUUGAUUCCUCGAUCGACUCCACUCCCCUCUUCACCACAUCUAUAACCGGCUCAAAAUGAAUUGUUUCAUUCGAAACCAAACUCAAACCAGUAUCCUCCUUUCCAUUACCACUGUCCACCUUCAAAACCACCAAUGGCGAAUCAGGCUCCAUCACCAAUUUCUUAGUUGUCCUCGCUGCUGCUGCUUUCUUAACAGCCAGUUCCUUCUUCGCAGGCUUCCCGUUAACUUUCUCAUUCUCUUCACCUUCAUUAACAUCAACUUUACC